AUGGCUCAGGAUGAACGCUAGCUACAGGCUUAACACAUGCAAGUCGAGGGGCAUCAUGGAGUUGCUUGCAAACUCUGAUGGCGACCGGCGCACGGGUGAGUAACGCGUAUCCAACCUUCCCUAUAGUAGAGGAUAGCCCGGCGAAAGUCGGAUUAAUACUCUAUGUUUUCCGUUGCAGACAUCUAAGAUGGAACAAAGGCUUGCCGCUAUAGGAUGGGGAUGCGUCUGAUUAGGUAGUCGGCGGGGUAACGGCCCACCGAGCCAUCGAUCAGUAGGGGUUCUGAGAGGAAGGUCCCCCACAUUGGAACUGAGACACGGUCCAAACUCCUACGGGAGGCAGCAGUGAGGAAUAUUGGUCAAGUGGGCGAGAGCCUGAACCAGCCAAGUAGCGUGCAGGACGACCGGCCCUAGUGGGUUAGUAAACUGUCUUUUAUGCGGGGAUAAAGUUCACUACGUGUAGUGUUUUGUAGGUACCGCAUGAAUAAGGACCGGCUAAUUCCGUGCCAGCCGCAGC
This 514-nucleotide ribosomal RNA is filed under the name uncultured bacterium. RNAcentral describes it as "bacterial SSU rRNA". It matches the Rfam family "Bacterial small subunit ribosomal RNA", at positions 19 to 518 of the family's 1533-position model. The record is from RNAcentral.